Molecule: ribosomal RNA, 440 nt
Filed under: uncultured bacterium
Lineage: Bacteria
Description: partial 16S ribosomal RNA
Rfam family: Bacterial small subunit ribosomal RNA
Source: RNAcentral
CCUACGGGAGGCUGCAGUAGGGAAUAUUGCACAAUGGGCGAAACCCUGAUGCAGCGACGCCGCGUGAGCGAAGAAGUAUUUCGGUAUGUAAAGCUCUGUCAGCAGGGAAGAAAAUGACGGUACCUGAGUAAGAAGCUCCGGAUAAAUACGUGCCAGCAGCCGCGGUAAUACGUAUGGCGCAAGCGUUCGCCGGAUUUACUGGGCGUAACGGGAGCGUAGGCGGCUUGCCAAGUCGGAUGUGAAAUACCGGGGCUCAACCCCGGGGUUGCAUUGGAAACUGGCAGGCUGGAGUGCCGGAGAGGCAGGCGGAAGUCCUAGUGUAGCGGUGAAAUGCGUAGAUAUUAGGAGGAACACCAGUGGCGAAGGCGGCCUGCUGGACUGUGACUGACGCUGAGGCUCGAAAGCGUGGGGAGCAAACAGGAUUAGAUACCCUUGUAGUC